UACAGAGGGUGCUAGCGUUGUUCGGAAUCAUUGGGCGUAAAGGGUGUGUAGGUGGCGCGCUAAGUCGGGUGUGAAAUUUCGGAGCUUAACUCCGAAACUGCAUUCGAUACUGGCGUGCUUGAGGACUGGAGAGGAGACUGGAAUUCAUGGUGUAGCAGUGAAAUGCGUAGAGAUCAUGAGGAAGACCAGUGGCGAAGGCGGGUCUCUGGACAGUUCCUGACACUGAGACACGAAGGCCAGGGGAGCAAACGGG
Molecule: ribosomal RNA, 253 nt
Filed under: uncultured bacterium
Lineage: Bacteria
Description: partial 16S ribosomal RNA
Rfam family: Bacterial small subunit ribosomal RNA
Source: RNAcentral